This 87-nucleotide transfer RNA is filed under the name Bradyrhizobium sp. ERR14. Its description in RNAcentral is "tRNA-OTHER". The record is from RNAcentral. Lineage: Bacteria; Pseudomonadati; Pseudomonadota; Alphaproteobacteria; Hyphomicrobiales; Nitrobacteraceae.
GCUGAGCUUGAAAGGACUCGGGUGUUCUAAGCGUACCGCGGUUUUGUAAACCGAAGGUCGGGGGUUCAAUCCCCUCAGCCGGCACCA